This 329-nucleotide unclassified non-coding RNA is filed under the name soil metagenome. RNAcentral's name for it is "partial contains 5.8S ribosomal RNA, internal transcribed spacer 2, and large subunit ribosomal RNA". The stretch from base 1 to 120 matches the Rfam family "5.8S ribosomal RNA", at positions 35 to 154 of the family's 154-position model. The record is from RNAcentral.
GAUGAAUAACGUAGCGAAAUGCGAUAAGUAAUGUGAAUUGCAGAAUUCAGUGAAUCAUCGAAUCUUUGAACGCACAUUGCGCCCCUUGGUAUUCCGAGGGGCAUGCCUGUUCGAGCGUCAUUAUAACCCCUCAAGCUCAGCUUGGUGUUGGGGCCUGCUGCACUGGCAGCCCUUAAAAUCAGUGGCGGCGCCAUCUGGCUCUAAGCGUAGUAAUUCUUCUCGCUAUGGAGUCCUGGUGGAUGCUUGCCAUCAACCCCCAAUUUUUCUAUGGUUGACCUCGGAUCAGGUAGGGAUACCCGCUGAGCUUAAGCAUAUCAAUAAGCGGAGGA